UGUUCUCUUUGUUAUUAUUGGAAUUCGGUGGUAUUUGAUAAUCUUUUUCAAAUAUUCAAGUUUAAGAUGGACCUGUGAAAGUACUUAUACCAUACAAAUAAAAAUACAAAGAGAGCGAACGUUAUUAGGUUUUCUAUAUAACGAUGUUCAAGGUCAAUAGAAAACAGGACGUGCUUAGCUUAAACACGUUAUCUAUAAUAUAGCAACAUCCAUGUGGUAGCACCAACUAAUUCAGGACUGUACCGAAAGAAACAGAAGAUGGAAGUUUGCCUGUUGUGUGUCUGUGUAGAUAAUAUGAGAGGUCUAUUUUCUGAAUCAGGAACCUUUCAAAGCUUGGCCAUCAAACUACUAGGACUGUAAGAGAGCGAACGUUAUUAGUUUUUCUAUAUAACGAUGUUCAAGGUCAAUAGAAAACAGGACGUGCUUUGCUUAAACACGUUAUCUAUAAUAUAGCAACAUCCAUGUGGUAGCACCAACUAAUUCAGGACUGUACCGAAAGAAACAGAAGAUGGAAGUUUGCCUGUUGUGUGUCUGUGUAGAUAAUAUGAGAGGUCUAUUUUCUGAAUCAGGAACCUUUCAAAGCUUGGCCAUCAAACUACUAGGACUGGGCUUUGC
This 615-nucleotide long non-coding RNA is filed under the name Nicotiana benthamiana. RNAcentral's name for it is "long non-coding RNA (NBEN_LNC010423)". The record is from RNAcentral. Lineage: Eukaryota; Viridiplantae; Streptophyta; Magnoliopsida; Solanales; Solanaceae.